GCCCCUGUAGCUCAGGGGAUAGAGCAUUGGUUUCCUAAACCAUGAGCGGAGGUUCGAGUCCUCCCAGGGGCA
This 72-nucleotide transfer RNA is filed under the name Candidatus Omnitrophota bacterium. Its description in RNAcentral is "Candidatus Omnitrophica bacterium tRNA-Arg". It matches the Rfam family "tRNA". Rfam says of the family: Transfer RNA (tRNA) molecules are approximately 80 nucleotides in length. Their secondary structure includes four short double-helical elements and three loops (D, anti-codon, and T loops). Further hydrogen bonds mediate the characteristic L-shaped molecular structure. tRNAs have two regions of fundamental functional importance: the anti-codon, which is responsible for specific mRNA codon recognition, and the 3' end, to which the tRNAs corresponding amino acid is attached (by aminoacyl-tRNA synthetases). tRNAs cope with the degeneracy of the genetic code in two manners: having more than one tRNA (with a specific anti-codon) for a particular amino acid; and 'wobble' base-pairing, i.e. permitting non-standard base-pairing at the 3rd anti-codon position. Lineage: Bacteria; Pseudomonadati; Candidatus Omnitrophota. The record is from RNAcentral.